Molecule: non-coding RNA, 30 nt
Organism: Anoxybacillus sp. B7M1
Lineage: Bacteria; Bacillati; Bacillota; Bacilli; Caryophanales; Anoxybacillaceae
Source: Rfam
GUUUCAAUUCCUUAUAGUUAAGAUACAAAC